AACCCCAAGAGUGUAUCUUAAUGUUGCUGCAGUUAAAAAGCUCGUAGUUGAAUUUCUGGCUCUCUCGUUGUCCUCUGGAUAACGAGGAGUCAUCGGCUUGGAGAAACAGUACGACCCUCAAAAGUUGUAUUGUAGACCCAGCAUUUUACUUUGAAGAAAUUAGAGUGUUCCUGGCAGGCAGCGCUUGCAUAUAUUAGCAUGGAAUAAUGGAAUAAGACUUUGUCUGUUUUUUUGGUUAACAGAUAAGUAAUGAUUAACAGGGACAGUCGGGGGCAUUCGUACUCAGUGGCUAGAGGUGAAAUUCUUAGAUUCGCUGAAGACGAACUAAUGCGAAAGCAUUUGCCAAGGAUGUUUUCA
This 357-nucleotide ribosomal RNA is filed under the name uncultured eukaryote. Its description in RNAcentral is "SSU rRNA". It matches the Rfam family "Eukaryotic small subunit ribosomal RNA", at positions 587 to 972 of the family's 1831-position model. The record is from RNAcentral.